AUUUUAGUUUCUAAAGCUAGAAUAAUUGGAAUGAGAAAAAGAUAAAAGUAAUAUCGAGUAACAAAUGGAGGGAAAAUUUGGUGCCAGCAGCCGCGGUAAUACCAGUUCCAUAAGUGUAUAUUAAAGUUGUUGCAGUUGAAAAGCUCGUAGUUGGAAUGGAGUUGUUGUGGGUCGGUGAUGUGGGCGAAAGUUCAUGUUGCUGGCACAUGGCAGCUGAUAUAAGGCAUGUAUUGUGGGCAUUCAUUGAUUUGGGUGUUCAUCAGCAGUAUAUGCAUUUUACUAUUAAAAAAUUAGAAAGUUUCAAUUAGAUUGUAAUUGGAUUUUUGAAUAGUCGAAGAAUGGUAUAAUAGAAUAGGAUUUUGGGAUCAGUUUGGAAUGUUAGAUGAUUCUAGAGUAAUGAUUAAUAGAGAUAGAUGGAGAUAUUUGUAUUUGAUGGCUAGAGGUGAAAUUCUUGGAUUCUUCAAAGACAAACUAAAGCGAAAGCAUUUAUCAAGUAUAUGCUCGUUAAUCAAGAACUAAAGUAAAGGGAUCAAAGAUGAUUAGAUACCGUCGUAGUCUUUACUAUAAACUAUGCCGAUUAGGGAUCUAUUUUAUUACGUAUUUUAUGUAGGUUGAAAUAGGAACCUUGUGAGAAAUCAUAAAUGUUUGGGUUCUGGGGGAAGUACGAGACGCAAGAUUGAAACUUAAAGGAAUUGACGGAAGAGCACCACAAGGAGUGGAUUUUGCGGCUCAAUUUGACCCAACACGGGGAAACUUACUAGGGUAGGACACACGAAGGAUUGACAGAUUGAUGGUUCUUUCGAGAUUGUGUGGAAGGUGGUGCAUGGCCGUUUUCAGUUCGUGGUUUGAGUUGGCUGGUUAAUUCCGAUAACGAACGAGAUUUCAUUUCUUAACUAAACCUGUUCUUUACUAGGGCUUCGGCUCUAGAGAAGGAUGGACAAAAGGUUUACUUAAGAAGACGAGAGAGGAAAACUCUUUGGAAGCGUGAAGCCGAACAGGUCUGUAUGCCCUUAGAUAUCCUAGGAUGCACGCGCGAUACAAUGACUAGGGCAGUGAGUAAAGGAUGGGCGAGCCUUCGGGUGAGUUCAUUGAAUCAUGUUUGAGAGGACAUGAUAAUCUUUUGAAACCUAGUCAAAUUUGGGAUAAAAGAUUGUAAUUAUUCUUUUUGAACGAGGAACUCCUAGUAAUUCUAAGUCAACAGCUUGGGAUGAAUGCGUCCCUGCUUUUUGUACACACCGCCCGUCGCUGCAUCUGAUUGAUUUAUAGAUUGAAAUGAUUGGAUUUUGGAUAUCUCUUCUUGGGAUAGAGAAAGAUGUUCAGUGAAUUCUAUAAGUUAGA
RNAcentral lists this ribosomal RNA (1338 nucleotides) under metagenome. RNAcentral describes it as "bacterial SSU rRNA". It matches the Rfam family "Eukaryotic small subunit ribosomal RNA", at positions 485 to 1777 of the family's 1831-position model. The record is from RNAcentral.